Non-coding RNA from Myotis brandtii (Brandt's bat), 72 nucleotides. The record is from Rfam. NCBI's taxonomy places the organism in Eukaryota, Metazoa, Chordata, Mammalia, Chiroptera, Vespertilionidae.
CUCAGGGUUGGGGUUCCUCAGCCCGGAUUGUGAGAUGGUGCAGGCCAGGCUCAGGGACCCCACCAGUGUACA